RNAcentral lists this ribosomal RNA (753 nucleotides) under uncultured Actinomyces sp. Its description in RNAcentral is "bacterial SSU rRNA". It matches the Rfam family "Bacterial small subunit ribosomal RNA", at positions 28 to 776 of the family's 1533-position model. The record is from RNAcentral. Lineage: Bacteria; Bacillati; Actinomycetota; Actinomycetes; Actinomycetales; Actinomycetaceae.
GACGAACGCUGGCGGCGUGCUUAACACAUGCAAGUCGAACGCUGAUGGCCCAGCUUGCUGGGUUGGAUGAGUGGCGAACGGGUGAGUAACACGCGAGUAACCUGCCCUCUUCUUUGGGAUAACGGUCGGAAACGGCUGCUAAUACCGGGUAUUCACUGUCCUUCGCAUGGGGGGUGGUGGAAAGGUUUUUUCUGGUGGGGGAUGGGCUCGCGGCCUAUCAGCUUGUUGGUGGGGUGAUGGCUUACCAAGGCUUUGACGGGUAACCGGCCUGAGAGGGUGACCGGUCACAUUGGGACUGAGAUACGGCCCAGACUCCUACGGGAGGCAGCAGUGGGGAAUAUUGCACAAUGGGCGAAAGCCUGAUGCAGCGACGCCGCGUGAGGGAUGACGGCCUUCGGGUUGUAAACCUCUUUCGCUCAUGGUCAAGCCGCAACUCAAGGUUGUGGUGAGGGUAGUGGGUAAAGAAGCACCGGCUAACUACGUGCCAGCAGCCGCGGUAAUACGUAGGGUGCGAGCGUUGUCCGGAAUUAUUGGGCGUAAAGGGCUUGUAGGCGGUUUGUCGCGUCCGCCGUGAAAUCCUCUGGCUUAACUGGGGGCGUGCGGUGGGUACGGGCAGGCUUGAGUGCGGUAGGGGAGACUGGAACUCCUGGUGUAGCGGUGGAAUGCGCAGAUAUCAGGAAGAACACCGGUGGCGAAGGCGGGUCUCUGGGCCGUUACUGACGCUGAGGAGCGAAAGCGUGGGGAGCGAACAGG